GCAAAGCCUUACAGUGGAUGGUUUGGCUUGAGAGGCGACGAAGGGCGUGGCAAGCUGCGAAAAGCUCGGGGUAGCCGCAUGCAGGCAUUAAACCCGAGGUUCCCGAAUGCUCUGAAAGGAGCGCACACCCGCUGAAUUGAAAUAUCUUAGUAAGCGGAGGAAGAGAAACCAAUAGGGAUUGCGUGAUUAGUGCGAACGAAAGCGCAUGAGGGCAAACCGAAUCCUCUCUGCAAGGAGAGAAGAAAUGUGGUGUUUUGGGUUCUUCUUUUAGUCCUCGGACGAGAGCUGAAGGCAACUGGAAAGUUGCGCCUUAGAACGUGAAAGCCGUGUAAGCGAGACGCGAGGGGAUGGGAAGAAUUCCAGAGUAGUAUAGCCUGGAUUGGCUGUAUGAAAUUGCGAGUAUUAACUUGCAACCCUAAAAUACAACUCAAGACCGAUAGCGAAUUCAGUACCGUGAGGGAAAACUGAAAAGAACCGCGAAAGCGGAGUCAAAAGUGCCUGAAAUUGUAAGGCGACAUGAAGACUCGGCCCGAAAGGCCCGAAGAGGGUACGGGGUCGUGUCGUACUUCUUGAAGCAAGAGCCAAGGAGUUCACAAGAGUGGCAAGCAUUGUGCAUAGCGAAAGCGAAAACUCCGCAACACCCGCAAGGGUGCGAGGGAGGGCGUCUUAAUCGGCGUUAAGUCACUCUUGUGAGACCCGAAGCCAAUGCGAUCUAAGCGUGAGCAGGGUGAAGCCGCCCUUCAGGGUGGUGGAAGCCCGCAACCAGUGAUGGUCUAGCCUCUUGGGUGACUUGCGUUUAGGGAUGAAAGUUCAUUCGAGCUUGGCGAUAGCGGGUUCCCUUCGAAGUGAACCGCAGUUCAGCCCGGUUGGAGAUUGUUGUUAGGUAGAGCUACCGAUUGCGAAGCACGGGGGCGAAAGCCCUCACUUUGCUAUCAAACUCCGAAGCUAACAACGUUGUAGAAAGCCGGAGUUGGCAGCAUGAGUUAAGCGCGUGCUGCGAGGGAGUAAAGACUCUUACUGGAGUUAAGGCCCCUAAGAAACUGCUGAGUGUUCUUCAAGAUGUUUUGGUCCAUAGACAGUGGGGAGGUAGGAACAGAAGCUGCCAUCCUUUAAACAACGCGUAACAGCGGACCCAUCAAGGACUGAAGCGUUGUAAACUCUCGGGACUAAGCAGUUCGCCGAUACUUCAGAACACGUUUUGUAUAAACGUGAUUUAGUAGAGGGGCGUGCAGUUCGCGCAGAAGCAAGGCCGUGAGGUCUUGUGGAGCGGAUUGCAAUGAAGAUCUUGGUGCUAGUAGCAACUAUUCCAGGCGAGAAAACUUUUUUGAUAAAAAGUUUUAUCAAAAAAUUCUUGAUUCCUGGACGCCGAAAGGACUAAGGGUUUCUUGGCAACGUUAGUCGACCAAGAGUCAGUCGGUCCUAAGACUAAACGAUAGUGAUGUCGAAAGGGAAACGCGUUAACAUUCGCGUACCACUUGAGUAAGUGCGGCAACGCAAGCCCGUAUCCAAACGCUUAGGGAUAGGCCCACAACGUGCAUCGUUGUUAACUUGAAUACAACGGGGAAGUCUCGUAAUGAGGAGCACCCGUUGAAGCAGGGAACGGCCUCCGCAAGGGGGUUGGGUUGAAUCCUAGAGCCCGUGAAAAUGGAACGGGAGUGAUCUCGAGUGUCCGUACCAAGAACCAGUACAAGAAUUUUUCUUUUACUGAAAGAAAAAUUCAGUAAAGAAAUUUUUUACUGAAAGGUGGUCCUGGCAGAGCAAGCCAAGGCGUGGCAGGAGAACCAUGGCAAGGGAAUUCGGCAAUCUAGGCCCGUAACUUCGGAAGAAGGGCUGCCUACAUUCUUCCAUAGACUUUGUCGAGUGGGGGUUUGUAGGUCGCAGUGGCAAGGAGACAGCGACUGUUUAUCAAAAACACAAAUCAUCGCAAAACCGAAAGGUUGAGUACGAUGGUUGACGCCUGCUCACUACUGGUAUCUCAAACUCCUUUUCAAGGGAGCUAAGGACCGGCAAAGAGCGGGAGUAACUCUGACUCUCUUAAGGUAGCGUAGUACCUCGCCGCUUAAUUGGCGGCUUUGGGAAGCGCACUCAAACAGUCAGCUGUUCCAGUAGCACUGGAACACUGGAAGCCUAGUGUCUGUAAAGCCUUUAAAAUUCCCAUGUUCUUUCGCAAUUAUGUUGACCAAGAGCUUGAGUUAUUUGCUCGGAGUUCUUCGUGAUGGUUGCUUGUCAAAAAGCGGCCAAAAGACCGAAGUGACUCUAGCGACUGAUUUGAGUCGUGAUUGGUUGAAUGUAAUUGCGCAACUCGCAUCCGUAGAAUUUUCUAUACCCGAAUCAAGAUUCAAAAUCUAUGAAGUUUGGGGCAAGAAAAGCAAGCAAUCGUGCUACCGGCUAAAAAUAUACUCGAAGGCAGUGUUCGACUUGCUGUUGAACCACUAUCGAGAGUCAGCCCAAUUACAUUGGUGUACGCCACCUAUAGUGAGGGAAGCUAGUUUGGAGCUGCAAAAAGAGUAUUUAGCUGGUUUUUACGAUGCGGAAGGCGGUUGUAGGAACGUGGAGAACUAUUUGAGUGGAAAAACGAAAUCCAUUCAAUGUUGGGCUUCUAUCAGAUGCAAGCACGAUGGCUUUAACGAGCCGCUCGAGUUUGCAAAAAGGAUUUUUAAUGAAGUCGGGAUUAAGUCAAGCGUAUACGAUUCUGACGAGCUCGUGAUAACGGGCAGGAAGAAUCUCCGCUUGUUUUACGAAACCUUCCCUCUCAAACACGGGAGGAAGAAGAACGACGUAAAAAAUCUUUUGAUAUUCGAGAGGGCGCUUUCCGCCGACGCAUGAAUGGCGUAACGACUGUCUUGCUGUCCCUGCCUUGGACCUGGUGAACCUACUUCUCGGUGAACAUGCCGAGGAAUCCUAAAGGGAAACGAAGACCCCGUGGAGCUUAACCACAGCCUGUUGUUGUAAUUCGGUUGGAGAAUCAAAGUGUAAGCAGGAGCCGUUAAGCGCACUCUCCCGGGAGUGCGAUAGGCGAAAG
RNAcentral lists this ribosomal RNA (3022 nucleotides) under groundwater metagenome. RNAcentral describes it as "bacterial LSU rRNA". It matches the Rfam family "Archaeal large subunit ribosomal RNA", at positions 15 to 2269 of the family's 2987-position model. The record is from RNAcentral.